UACGUAGGGGGCGAGCGUUGUCCGAAGUCACUGGGCGUAAAGCGCGCGUAGGCGGGGGAUUAAGUGAGAAGUGAAAGGCUGGGGCUCAACCUCAUGCAGUGCUUCUCAUACUGGUCCUCUUGAGGGCGGUAGGGAGAAGUGGAAUGGCUGGUGUAGCGGUGAAAUGCGUAGAUAUCAGUCGGAACACCGGUGGCGAAGGCGGCUUCUUGGGCCGUUCCUGACGCUGAGGCGCGAAAGCCAGGGGAGCGAACGGG
This 254-nucleotide ribosomal RNA is filed under the name uncultured bacterium. RNAcentral's name for it is "partial 16S ribosomal RNA". It matches the Rfam family "Bacterial small subunit ribosomal RNA", at positions 524 to 776 of the family's 1533-position model. The record is from RNAcentral.